AUUAAGUACAGUUAUGGUUUCAGUGCCGAUCUUUAACCACUCAUUUUAUUUAAAAUAUUUUUACGAUUAGUAUUUUUAUUGUUAUUAGAUGAUAAAAUAUGAAUAGUACUUUUAUACUUGACUUAACUUUAAAAUAUUUUUUAUAAAUUUUUUAAAUAAGAUGGACAGUAAAACGUUGGACACGAAAACUUACUGUUGAACAUAAU
Molecule: non-coding RNA, 206 nt
Organism: Oryza glumipatula
Lineage: Eukaryota; Viridiplantae; Streptophyta; Magnoliopsida; Poales; Poaceae
Source: Rfam